GAUACCUACGGGGCGCAGCAGUGGGGAAUAUUGCACAAUGGGCGAAAGCCUGAUGCAGCAACGCCGCGUGAAGGAAGAAGGCCUUCGGGUCGUAAACUUCUGUCCUUGGGGAAGAAGAACUGACGGUACCCAAGGAGGAAGCCCCGGCUAACUACGUGCCAGCAGCCGCGGUAAUACGUAGGGGGCAAGCGUUAUCCGGAAUUAUUGGGCGUAAAGAGAGCGUAGGCGGACUUUUAAGUGAGAUGUGAAAUACUCGGGCUCAACUUGAGUGCUGCAUUUCAAACUGGAAGUCUAGAGUGCAGGAG
RNAcentral lists this ribosomal RNA (305 nucleotides) under uncultured bacterium. RNAcentral describes it as "bacterial SSU rRNA". It matches the Rfam family "Bacterial small subunit ribosomal RNA", at positions 334 to 654 of the family's 1533-position model. The record is from RNAcentral.